This is an RNA transcript of Colius striatus (speckled mousebird), 4151 nucleotides long. It is a transcript of the gene named glutaminyl-peptide cyclotransferase, with no coding region annotated. Lineage: Eukaryota; Metazoa; Chordata; Aves; Coliiformes; Coliidae. The transcript has 8 exons. The record is from RefSeq and is a predicted model, not a curated record.
AUGGCAGGGGUCGGGGGGACGGCGGGCGCCUCCCGCCUGCUCGGGGCUCUGUGCCUCGCCGCCGCUUGCCUUCACCUGGCGCACGGCAGGGAAGCCGGAGCGGAAUGGACCCUGGAGAAGUAUUCCCAUCAGCCACGAAUUUUACAUUCUGAUACUAUUCAAAAAGUUGCAGCAAACACAGAUGUUUCUGAAAUGUGGGAGAAUGAUUUGCAUCCCAUCCUGAUAGAAAGAUACUCAGGAUCACCAGGAAACUAUGUUGUACGACAGCAUAUCAAGCACCGUCUCCAAAGAUUACAGGCUGGCUGGGAAAUUGAGGAAGACACAUUUCAGAGAUACACACCAUAUGGAUAUCAAGCAUUUUCAAAUAUUAUCAGCACCCUUGACCCCUCUGCAAAACGCCACCUAGUACUUGCUUGCCACUAUGACUCCAAAUUCUUUGGACAGCAAUGGCAGGAGAGAGUGUUCGUAGGAGCAACUGAUUCAGCUGUGCCUUGUGCAAUGAUACUGGAGCUGGCACGUGCCCUGGAUGACAAGCUUCAGUUAAUCAAGACCAGCUCAACAUCAAGACCAGACCUUUCACUUCAGCUCAUUUUUUUUGAUGGUGAAGAGGCUUUUGUCCGGUGGUCCCCUUCAGAUUCCCUCUACGGGUCUCAACACUUAGCUCAGAAAAUGGUAUCUACUCCACAUCCACCUGGUUCAACAACCACCAAUCAGCUGCAGGGCAUAGACCUGCUUGUGCUACUGGAUUUAAUUGGUGCACCAAACCCCGUCUUCCCCAGUUAUUUUCCAGAUACUAUCCGAUGGUUUCAGAGGCUUCAAGCAAUUGAGCAAGAGCUACACAACAUGAAUCUGUUAAAGAAUCACCUUUCUGAAAGGCAAUAUUUCCAGACUACUUCACAUCGAGGCUUGGUUGAAGAUGACCAUAUUCCUUUUUUAUUAAGAGGGGUUCCAGUCCUACAUCUGAUUCCAUCCCCUUUCCCUGCAGUAUGGCAUACCAUGGAGGACACAGAAGAAAACCUGGAUAAAAACACUAUUGACAAUCUCAGCAAAAUCCUGCAAGUGUUUGUCCUGGAAUACCUAAACCUUUGAUAGCCAAAAUGGCAACAAAUUGUACUUCACUCUUAAUACUGUUUGUUCACCAUCACAGUUACUAUUUAAUUGCAUUGGAGAGCACUAAAGCAAGGCGAAUUACAAUGACAGUUCUUGUGACACUGAUUAUUGAUUCAGCUGUUCCUAGCCCAAUGUUCCAUGUAGUCAAAUAAGAUAGCAUUAAACAAGAAUUAGUUUCAGUCUGGAAAGAAUUUGAUCUUUCCAUGUCUUACCCCUGAAUAAAAAAAACACCCACAAUUUUUCCAGAUUGUUAUCACAGUUUCAUGUCACAUAUUAAGAUCCCAGAUGGAAAUGCCUUCCAGUUUAACUACAGUUUUCACAAGGUGUGAUCAACUAUUGCAGCAUUCAGCAAUGGAAAUUCAUACCACAUUAACAAAAGAGGCAACUAUUACACUAAAACAAACGUCUAAUUUGGGUUGAAUUAAACCACCUCAUCCUGAAAUUAGUUGCUAGAACUCUUGACACAUAGAAGGGAUUUUUAAUCCUCUCUUCACUCUCUCCUCCUUCCCCUACAAAGAAGGCUAGUAAGGAAACAAAAAUAACCCAAAUUCAGUUUUUUACCUGAAAAACUGUUUGUUGGAUACUUUUUGAUGGAGAAGGGUGAAGGGGAGUGAUGCUAAGAGGAUGGUGUGGGGAGGUUUCCAUCAUGCUUUGACUGGAACACAGGAGAUGUAAACAGAAGAGUAGGUGGUGUGUGAGAUGCUAUGCCCCAGCACACACUAUGCAUUCAUGCCAGUAUGACAAUUUGAAAGAAAACAACCAACCCUGCUGUUUUUAAUACAGAUUACAUCAGAAGUAAUCAUACUAGGAAACUGAUGACUGUAGAAACUUAUCAUUUUAUAUAAAUAAAAUUGUAAAGGCAAAGUAUUAUUUAUUAAGGUUCAAGUACAUAUGAGAGUCAGAAGCAAGAAGACAUGUUUAAGCACCACAAAGUAAGGACAAGCCAUAGCCCAUUUCAGAAAUGAUACUCACUGUUUUAGCAACACUCUGCUUUUACUGGAACUUUUUAUAUUCCUUACUGGAACUAUUCAAGAAAUUUAGUAUAACACUCUGGAAAAAAAAAAUCCCAAACCGUAGCCUGGAAUUAUAUCAACAGGAGAAGCCAGAAGAAGAGUGUUCAAAAGCUGCCUACAGGAUUGGUUCCCACCGGUAUUACUGUACAUCUGUGUAGAUACAUCAGUUAAUUGAACUCUGCUAUCAUAUUCUGCUCUGCUUCAUCCCAUAAGAAGACACUCCAAACAACUGAAUUAAAUCUCCUGAGGUUUGAAUAGUCUGAGCGGUGGUAAGGCACUCCCUAACUGGUGAAAAAAGGUAACCAAAUGGCUAUAUACAGAAAUACUAAUAUGAGUUUGUGUGGCUAAUAUAAUUUUUGCCGGUCAAUUCUUGUGGUACUUCACACUUUGAAGAGCCUAUGAAAAAUGUAGAAUGCAUUUGCAGUAUGUACUGAUACUCUGCUUUCUUCAGAAUUUCAAAGCUAAGAUUCAUUAUGAAAUGUGGGUUCAGAGGGUUGUUAUAACUGGGAGACGUUUAAUUCUUUAAAAUCUCUAUUUUUGAGACUUUAAUUUAACCAUGUAGUACACCAAAUCUCUGGCAUGUCAGUUUUGUCACCAAAUUCUCCCUGCCUGAGCAUGCAGUUCUCUUGAGUUAUGUUUAUUACCCAGUUCAGUGAACUGAGAUACAGGUUGGUGAAACAUGACUUAGUGGUUCUCAAAAUACGAAGAAAACAAAAAGACGCUUGCUUUUUUUUCUCCCUUUGUUUUUUUGGGGGGGCAGGGGGGUAGAGAAAAAUAAGGCGAUCAACUAGAUGUCAGCCCUGGAAAUGGUUUACUUAGAGAGGGAGGAUCAUUAUCUUAGCAAUUUAUAUGAUGUCAUUAAUAUAAAAAAAUAAAUGCUGGAAAGAAAACUUACAUCAGCACAGUAACCACAUGAAUCCAAGAAUCUUAAGUUCCCAAAAUAUUAAGAACCUGAGGCAGUUGGUAAAGCAAAGACAUGGUGAAAGGUGCAUUCUCACCGCUGCUAAAGCAGAGGAGAAUAAGCAAGUAGGUGACUGUCUAGCCAUUUCAUAAAAUAUCCAGGAAACAAAAAAAUACAGGUAAGAAGACCAGGAUUGGUAUCUUUCACUCUCACUUUCAACUCUGAAUAUCACAGUAAGUAUCCUGAUCCUUAGGAUCUGGACAUGCACGGUACAGAUAAUUACUUCAGAACUUGGAGACACGCUUUAGGUUGAAGAGCCAUCCCUGCACAGUUUCUCUGUUGGAUGGUGGCAGCAGGGGACAGAAAUCAAUGGAGGGACUUCAACUAAAUUAAUAAUUACACAAAUAAACAGAAUUGCUGAACAGGUUCUCUCCUUGAACAGGAUUUGUCACAUCUCAGUCAAGGUGUGGGGGGGUGGGUAUGGGGAAUAAAACCCAUCAAUCUACCACCCACGAGAGGCUGUCAUUGGCUUGUCAGAGUCCUCUCAAAGGUGUAUGUGGUUAUUAUAUGGGUAAAGGGAAUGCAGAACAGACUGAAUUCAAGAGCCACUACUCAAUAGGGAAAGCUGAAAAAAAUUCCCAUAUUAGUUCCUUGUAUUGCAGUAGGUGCUCUAGCUCCUUUUGUAUCAGGACAAUGCAGUUUUUCGUAAGAGCCUUAAGUCUAAGUAAUGGUACAUGCCCCUUGAAUUCUCUAAAGCUUGAUGCAUUUGCCUACAAGUGAAGUGAUCCUAUGCAAACACAGCUAGAACAAGUUAAGGGAGUAACAAUGCCAAAUCCUCUGGUAGACAGAAAUGACAGUGAGCACCAGCCCACUUUUUUUCUCCAGCUGAGGCAGCAUUCCUAUCACUAGGAAUGAAGAUGAUAAAAAUUAGUAAUUCUUAUUCACAUUUCAAAUAAACAUUUAGAUUGUGACCACCUAACAGCAAAUUACAAAUAGAAAAGACAAAAUGUGAUAAAAAAUGCUUUCUGUGGAAUUAUUUCACAAACCCAGCCUACACUGAUAGCAGACCCAGCAAAAUAUUUCUUGAGUUUCACACUAGUGCUCAUUGAGAUUGAAGUAUCACCCAA